UUACGGCUCCCGCCAAGAGAGUGGCGAGGUUUAUGAUCAUGCCAUCAACUCCAACGUCGCCGUUCGGAGCCACUAACGGCGGAGUUUGCGGGCCGUAAAUGGGCUGGUGAAAGGGCCAGGCGCAUUGGCCGGGGCACUGGACCACCGAGUUCCCAACCCACACGUAAGCCGUCUUUUUAUCCCGGUUGGAGCCGUGGGUCCCGCAGCGGCUACAGAAGCCGUCGACCGCCACGUCACUGGCAGUCAAAACAACGUUGAUGGCGUUCAACGCGUUGACUUUGCCGGCGAGGGCCACCAGGUGUCGGUUACGGAGGGACUUUCCGAGAGAGUAGGCCUCGUGGAGGAUUUGCCUGCCGACGAGGAGAUUGGUGGCGCCGCCCCUGUACUUCUCGGUGGUUUUCCACCAGGAGGAGGCGGAGGGGAGUGGGGAACGCCGGGGAGCGAGGGAGUGGAUGAAGUCGACGAUGAUGGACCUUUGGAUAGGAGUGAAGCUGCCGUACC
This 501-nucleotide long non-coding RNA is filed under the name Malus domestica (apple). RNAcentral's name for it is "long non-coding RNA (MDOM_LNC004360)". The record is from RNAcentral. Lineage: Eukaryota; Viridiplantae; Streptophyta; Magnoliopsida; Rosales; Rosaceae.